RNAcentral lists this ribosomal RNA (253 nucleotides) under uncultured bacterium. RNAcentral's name for it is "partial 16S ribosomal RNA". It matches the Rfam family "Bacterial small subunit ribosomal RNA", at positions 524 to 776 of the family's 1533-position model. The record is from RNAcentral.
UACGAAGGGGGCUAGCGUUGCUCGGAAUCACUGGGCGUAAAGGGUGCGUAGGCGGGUUUUUAAGUCAGGGGUGAAAUCCUGGAGCUCAACUCCAGAACUGCCUUUGAUACUGAAGAUCUUGAGUCCGGGAGAGGUGAGUGGAACUGCGAGUGUAGAGGUGAAAUUCGUAGAUAUUCGCAAGAACACCAGUGGCGAAGGCGGCUCACUGGCCCGGUACUGACGCUGAGGCGCGAAAGCGUGGGGAGCGAACAGG